CGUGUAGGCGGUCAGGUUAGUGGGACGUGAAAUGCCCCGGCUCACCCGGGGACCUGCGUCCCAAACUGCCUGGCUUGAGUAUGGGAGAGGAUGAGGGAAUUCCUGGUGUAGCGGUGAAAUGCGUAGAUAUCAGGAGGAACACCGGUGGCGAAGGCGCUCAUCUGGCCCAAUACUGACGCUGAGGCGCGAAAGCUAGGGGAGCAAACG
RNAcentral lists this ribosomal RNA (207 nucleotides) under uncultured bacterium. Its description in RNAcentral is "partial 16S ribosomal RNA". It matches the Rfam family "Bacterial small subunit ribosomal RNA", at positions 568 to 774 of the family's 1533-position model. The record is from RNAcentral.